CUUUGGAAAAUGCAAACUCUAAUAAUUGAGACAUCUGAACCUAUCUUUCGUACCAAAGCAGAUAUACGACAGAUGAGUAAGUUGAGACAUUUAAUUACGAAUGUCCCGAUAUAUUUACCUGACCAGGUUACUAAAUCAGAAGAAUGUUAUUGUUUGACGAGUCUACAAACUUUUGCCGUAGUAACCUCAGAAAGUUGCACGACAGAAUUGAUUGCUAGUAUUCCGAACAUAAAGAAAUUCAGCAUUUGUGAUCGGUUAGCUUUACUUGUACUGGGAAAUGAUGGAUUUGAUUGUCUUCAGAAGUUGAGGUAUCUUACAAAUUUGAAGCUCAUGAAUGGAGGGGGGGGUACUCACUCCACCACUUCGCCUACCUGAACAUCUCAAAUUUUCACCAAUGUUAAAUAAGCUAACUCUAUCAAACACCCAACUAGUUGGGAGCAGAUGUUAAUAUUGGGAAGAUCAGAAAAUAUUGAGAUACUCAAGCUAAAAAAGUGUGCAUUCAAGGGAGAUCUGUGGAAGAUGAAGCAAGAGUGUUUCUCUGUUAUCAAAGUCUUGCACAUUGUAAAGACUGAUUUAGCUCAAUGGGAGGCUUCUGCACAUCACUUCUUCCAAGAAUACGUACGUGUCCACAAGUUCAUACAGAAAUUUAUACAAUUGCUUCACUUCUGUCUUAAUAGACUUGAUCUCGCUCUUCAAUAUUUUAAGUCUCUUCUCUUUCGAAAAUGGAAUCAUUGUAUCCAUAGAAGCCUCGUGAAUAUAUUUGUCAAUGACAUCUUUAGACCGGUAAACCAAAUCCUUGACUUGUUUCACAAAUUCUACUUCAAUGGAACUCAUACUGCUUUUUUUUGUAUAAUAGUUAAUGAGGCAUUUGGAAAUAGUCAAGUCCCUGCACAGUUGUUCCACCUUCUCCUCGACAUCUUCAAGCAAAUCAAUGUGGGAAACAUACAAGGUUUUUAGGCAAUCUAGCAUAAAUGCCACACAUG
Molecule: long non-coding RNA, 983 nt
Filed under: Olea europaea subsp. europaea
Lineage: Eukaryota; Viridiplantae; Streptophyta; Magnoliopsida; Lamiales; Oleaceae
Source: RNAcentral